RNAcentral lists this ribosomal RNA (497 nucleotides) under uncultured bacterium. RNAcentral describes it as "partial 16S ribosomal RNA". It matches the Rfam family "Bacterial small subunit ribosomal RNA", at positions 28 to 507 of the family's 1533-position model. The record is from RNAcentral.
GAUGAACGCUGGCGGCGUGCCUAAUACAUGCAAGUCGAGCGAACAGAUAAGGAGCUUGCUCCUUUGACGUUAGCGGCGGACGGGUGAGUAACACGUGGGUAACCUACCUAUAAGACUGGAAUAACUCCGGGAAACCGGGGCUAAUGCCGGAUAACAUUUAGAACCGCAUGGUUCUAAAGUGAAAGAUGGUUUUGCUAUCACUUAUAGAUGGACCCGCGCCGGAUUAGCUAGUUGGUAAGGUAACGGCUUACCAAGGCAACGAUACGUAGCCGACCUGAGAGGGUGAUCGGCCACACUGGAACUGAGACACGGUCCAAACUCCUACGGGAGGCAGCAGUAGGGAAUCUUCCGCGAUGGGCGAAAGCCUGACGGAGCAACGCCGCGUGAGUGAUGAAGGUCUUCGGAUCGUAAAACUCUGUUAUUAGGGAAGAACAAAUGUGUAAGUAACUGUGCACGUCUUGACGGUACCUAAUCAGAAAGCCACGGCUAACUACGUG